CUACGGGCGGCUGCAGUGGGGAAUUUUGGACAAUGGGCGCAAGCCUGAUCCAGCCAUUCCGCGUGAGUGAAGAAGGCCUUCGGGUUGUAAAGCUCUUUCGCAAGGGAAGAAAACUUAUCCCCUAACAUAGGGUGAGGUUGACGGUACCUUGAUAAGAAGCACCGGCUAACUACGUGCCAGCAGCCGCGGUAAUACGUAGGGUGCGAGCGUUAAUCGGAAUUACUGGGCGUAAAGCGUGCGCAGGCUGUUUUGUAAGUCAGAUGUGAAAUCCCCGAGCUCAACUUGGGAACUGCGUUUGAAACUACAAGACUAGAAUAUGUCAGAGGGGGGUAGAAUUCCAUGUGUAGCAGUGAAAUGCGUAGAGAUGUGGAGGAAUACCAAUGGCGAAGGCAGCCCCCUGGGAUAAUAUUGACGCUCAUGCACGAAAGCGUGGGGAGCAAACAGGAUUAGAUACCCGCGUAGUC
Molecule: ribosomal RNA, 464 nt
Filed under: uncultured bacterium
Lineage: Bacteria
Description: partial 16S ribosomal RNA
Rfam family: Bacterial small subunit ribosomal RNA
Source: RNAcentral